This 425-nucleotide ribosomal RNA is filed under the name uncultured bacterium. RNAcentral's name for it is "bacterial SSU rRNA". It matches the Rfam family "Bacterial small subunit ribosomal RNA", at positions 356 to 772 of the family's 1533-position model. The record is from RNAcentral.
GGGGAAUUGUUCGCAAUGGGCGCAAGCCUGACGACGCAACGCCGCGUGGAGGAUGAAGAUCUUCGGGUCGUAAACUCCUUUCGAUCGAGACGAACGGCCUCCGGGUGAACAAUCCGGAGGAGUGACGGUACCGAGAGAAGAAGCCCCGGCUAACUCCGUGCCAGCAGCCGCGGUAAUACGGGGGGGGCAAGCGUUGUUCGGAAUUACUGGGCGUAAAGUGUGCGCAGGCGGCAGAGCAAGUCGAGUGUGAAAGCCCCGGGCUUAACUUGGGAAUUGCGCUCGAAACUACUUUGCUGGAGUGUGGCAGAGGAAGGUGGAAUUCCACGUGUAGCGGUGAAAUGCGUAGAGAUGUGGAGGAACACCAAUGGCGAAGGCAGCCUUCUGGGCCAACACUGACGCUCAUGCACGAAAGCGUGGGGAGCAAA